Long non-coding RNA from Physella acuta, 224 nucleotides. RefSeq lists it as uncharacterized. The record is from RefSeq and is a predicted model, not a curated record. Lineage: Eukaryota; Metazoa; Mollusca; Gastropoda; Physidae.
GGUUCCUCCAUCUUCCAGUUGACGGCACAAGAUCCAGAUAAUGACACCUUAUUUUUUAGCACGGACACGGAGGAGACAGCAAAACUGGUCAGCUUGACCCCUGCCAGAUAUAAUGGGAGCAGUUGGAACACGGACCUCAAGUUAAAGAAAAUACUAGACUGGGACAAUAGCCCUAGAACCAGAGAUUUGUACUUCAAGGUGUCAGACAAUAUGUUUACAGUAAG